UUGUCCUACGGGGGGCAGCAGUGGGGAAUAUUGGGCAAUGGAGGCAACUCUGACCCAGCAACGCCGCGUGAACGAUGAAGGUCUUCGGAUUGUAAAGUUCUUUAAGUGGGGACGAAGAAAGUGACUGUACCCACAGAAUAAGCCUCGGCUAACUACGUGCCAGCAGCCGCGGUAAUACGUAGGAGGCAAGCGUUAUCCGGAAUGACUGGGCGUAAAGGGUGCGUAGGUGGUUUGGCAAGUUGGUAGCGUAAUCCCGGGGCUCAACCUCGGUGCUACUACCAAAACUGCUGGGCUUGAGUGCAGGG
Molecule: ribosomal RNA, 305 nt
Filed under: uncultured bacterium
Lineage: Bacteria
Description: bacterial SSU rRNA
Rfam family: Bacterial small subunit ribosomal RNA
Source: RNAcentral